AGCUCAGCUUAGCAAAAUGAAACGCUCGGUUGACAGAACCAAAAGCUGUCACAUUGCUUGUGACAGUUGCUUGCCGAACAGAUCGCAACUUUUUCUUUUCCAGCGCCGGUCGCGCGCGAUUUUUCCCCGAUUUUUCCGCGAACGUGCGCGGGAAACUCCACGUGAGUGUGUGUGUGUGUGUGUGUGUGUGUGUUGUUUGUGUGUUAAAAGCAAUGGCAGCGAAAGCGAAGGAUGUGUGUGUGUGUGUGAAACGAGUUGGAGGUUUAGCAAACAGUGCCUGUAGGUGCGUUCGAAAUUAACCAGACAGAACAACAAAGCAAAAACAUUAGCAGAUAGAAGCCCGUGCGUGUGUGUGUGCUCGCGCGUUCCAGCAGAAUUCAAAGCGGCCCCACCGAAAAGGGGGCUUUUGUGAAACAUCCUAACGGCACACGAAGAACAAAUUGCACACUACACCUUCUCACACAAACAAACAAAAAAAAACAUCCAGUGUGGGAAGGUAGAACUGUGCCCACCCCCAGAAACAGGAAACAGAAGUGUCGUCCUGGGUGGCACCUAACUCGCACGCGCGCCUUUCUUCCCAGUGCGCUCGCACCGUACAGGCCAUUCAUCUCACCGGCGAGGGCCACGCUGGAGCCGACGUUGCGCGCAAUCGCCGGCGGGGUGUGGCGGAUGCAGCAGCAGAGCUGCUGCAGCCCGGGCACACCGUGCAGCACCAGGAUGAAGCCGCUGCGGAACCGGGCGUUCAUGUAGCAGUAGAUGAUCGGGUUGUAGCAGCUGUGCGACAUCGCGAGCCAGUGGAAGGCGAACCAGAAGUACGGCAGCAGGUCCCACGAGGACGGGAGCUUCAUCAGCUGCGGGCGAGAGGAGACGGGGAGGGUGGUGUAAUGCUGCAAUGGAAGCGAAACGGUGCCCCUCUUACCAUUAGGAAGUUGAACGGCAGCCAGCAGAUGGUGAACACGAUUACCACGGUCACCAUCAUCUUGAUCAUCUGGAACGGGAAGAAAUCAACACCGAGGAUGGAAGAAAAUUGGCUGUGGAAAGCUCCCAACUAGCGGACCGCACCAGACUGGAAACACGACCAACGAACUGCCAAGGGUUUCGCUUACAGGAAUCGUACUGGAAAAAUUGACUGUAACCUGUCGGCCAUCCAGGUGCCCCGUACAAAAUCCGACUAUCGCCGAAGAAAAACAUUCAAACGUACUGGCGCACCGUGCCGUAAGCUACCGAUCACUGGGCACUGGGCUCUGUUGUUUUAGGUUCAAGGGGCCCGUAAAAAAAUCGUUUUGCCCACCUUGUGUGUGUCUAGCGCUUUCGUUUAGCAGUGAUUUACUUGCGCCAUUUAAUUCGGGCUUUCCGAGCUUUGCGCUUUAAAUCUUUGGCUCCGAUAAUGCGGCUGUUUUUUUUUUUUGCUUCAACAAUUUUCAUGCAAACAAGUGACAGAGAAAGAGAGAGGGAGGAAAAUUGUCAGGCGGCACGAUGGCGUAAUUUAUGCUCUCGUCAGUGGGACGGUUUUUUUGUGUGUGUGGUGUGCCCUAUUUCCCUCAUUCUUUAUUCAUAAUAUCAAACGGUUUGCUCUACCGUCUGAAUGUUCGCAGCAAAAGUUUUGCGGUGCCUCUGUACUCCCACAACAAGGGUGUGUGUGUGUGUUUCAGGGUACAUCCAGCAGCACCGCUUCCCUCCGGUGCAGGCUAAUGAAAAUAUUGUGUAAAUACUUUUUACACGACAGCCAAAAAGCGACCGACCGAGGCGGAUACGGCGUUCCGGUUUGGAAUGGAGAAGGUUUUUUUUUUUAUUAUUAUUUCUUAUUACCCAGUGGAUUUGUACGGACCUGUACCGUGGAGCUGAGGGUGGUGUCUGUCUCGCUUACCGGAAUGAAGGACAAAAAGUGUGCACACCCCAAAACGUAUAGUGGGCGCCUCUGUGUUUUUUUCCCCUCCUAUUUACAGGCGUUUUUACAAGUGACACAGUGUAGUAGCAACUGCUCCGGCGUCUUGACAAAGCUCCAAGUGAAGCUUACUGAUAAUGAUAAGUAGAUCGUCCGCUCAAACCCACUUGUUGAUUUAUUUAUUUAUUUAUUUUUUUUUGGUUUCUGAUUCGUUUUGAGGGUUCGAGUAAAGUUUUGACGUCUUCUUCGCACCGAAUAGGCAAACGAGGCUUUCUCGAAUUAAUUAUUACAGAGAAUAGAGAGAGAGAGAGAGACCCAAAACAAAAAAAAAAGGUUUUACCUUUUAAUCUGUCGUAUUAAGCGACGAACGCUUGCUUGGUAGGCGACACAUUCGGUUUGUUUGCUUUCGCUCCUCAUUAAUUAAGUAACAAAAUAUGCGUCAAAACAUUAUUACUACACGGGGCGCCUUUUUCAAUUGCAAAAAAAAUGGAAAUCCCUCUGAGUCUGGUAUCGUAAGUACAGCUUCGAGGGUUCUAUGUAAUUUGAUUAUUUUAAUACAAAUCCAAUGAGAAACAUUUGUCAAGUCCAAUAUGUGCACAAAAAGGUAACGAAAAUGUAUAAAAAAAAGAGCUAUUUAUGACGUCAGUUUGAAAUUGAUUUACUGGGGCAAUUUGCCGAUUAUUGCACAGUUUAGGAAAAGCUGAAUUAUUUUUAUGUUUAAAGCCUGAUAAAAUCACAAUUUUCUUGUUAUUUUUGUCUACUAAAUAACAGUUAUGUAUGAAAAAUACUAAUUAUAUCUUUCUUGGUCAGAAUAUUCAUGGAUAAUGUCAAUAAUUACUGAUUGCCUGAACAUACUCAAAAAUCAAAUGAUUGCCCCCUAGCACAAGUUAUUGUCAAUCGCUGUUACCAGUUGUUGUACCAUUUAUUUGAAUGUUUAAACUAUCACAAAUCGUCAGGUUUGCUUUACGACUGCAUCUAGCUCAAAAUCCAACCAGCCUUCCAUAAUUUGUGUCCUUACUAGCGAGCUCUACCAUUGAUUCCUAAACCGUAGAAGGUUGUACGCACUGUUUUGAGUGGAAAAUAGCUUCGGAAGCCCUUGUCAUAGUUCUCAUACAACGAUGUCGUAGUGCACGAGAAUCGUAGAUAUUUGUAGAUGUGCAAAAGAACCUCUACGAGAACCUUCUCCAGUGUUCAGCUCUCUUCAGCUUGUCCAAUGAACGAUUUGACUGUGGUGUUAAUGAGCGUCCUUUAACAUCUUUUGUGAUUCUUUUAGGCACUAUUUCAUCGGACGUCGUAUAAACAACGAAAAAGUUAUCUGAUUGCUUCUAGCAAGGCAUCGAGAAAAGCAUCCACUGCGUCGACGUCAUUAUGGAUACAACCUACACUUUCGAAAGCCAGAUCGUAUGAUGCGAAAACGAGGUUUUGCUGUGUGCAGUAAAGUAGGAUCGAACAGCAUUCUUUGAUCGAAUUAUAGAACAGUUGAUUACUGUGGAUGCAUUUUCUUCCAAAACUUGUAGAUCUGAGCGGUUCAUAAUGGCUGCAUAGGCAUAGAACACGAGGUAAAACACACCUUGUUUUUGGGUAAUGUUUUCAAAUGGUUUUUGUUCUUGUUUCCCAGGAUAUCAGGGUUUCUAAUAAUCUGUCCAGCAGUGUGUAGUUUCUGUACCAUCGCGGGAACGCUUGAUGGAACGCGUUUCCAAUAGCAUUUAUUCAUUCAUUAGAAAUAGAUGUUUCAAAUAAGCAAAACAGCUAUACGCAUUGCAAGAAAACCCAUUUUAAAGCGCAAUACGUGUGUUGUGUUGAAUUUUCGAAUAGGACGGACAACUGGUUCGAGAAAGAGCAUACGAAAUUUCCUAUUGGGAAAUUACUCGAGUAUGCGACCCCAGCAAGCUAGUUGGACUUGUUAAUAGGCCGUCAAGGCCAAUUUUUCCACCAAGUCAAAAUUCAACUUUUGAAUCUUUGCAAAUCUAUAGAAUCUCUUACAGGGUUUCCCACGAUUUAUUGAUUAGUUCCCAUAAAUUUUUGGUGGGUUCCCAUAUUUUGUU
Long non-coding RNA from Anopheles merus, 3930 nucleotides. RefSeq lists it as uncharacterized. The transcript is spliced from 3 exons. The record is from RefSeq and is a predicted model, not a curated record. NCBI's taxonomy places the organism in Eukaryota, Metazoa, Arthropoda, Insecta, Diptera, Culicidae.